RNAcentral lists this microRNA precursor (110 nucleotides) under Xyrichtys novacula (pearly razorfish). The record is from RNAcentral. Lineage: Eukaryota; Metazoa; Chordata; Actinopteri; Labriformes; Labridae.
CUGGCAGGUUUGGUGGGCUGAUGUCUAUCUGCCUGUCUGUGCCUGCUGUACAGGUUGGAGGAUAUUCUGCACAGCAAGUGUAGAUAGGCAGACACACUGCAACUCCUACA